RNAcentral lists this unclassified non-coding RNA (299 nucleotides) under Hevea brasiliensis (rubber tree). Lineage: Eukaryota; Viridiplantae; Streptophyta; Magnoliopsida; Malpighiales; Euphorbiaceae. The record is from RNAcentral.
GCCGCCGCCAACCCCACCAACUGUGCCGAAGCCGGAUCCCACGAAGCCUAUGACCGUCGCCAGGACGCUCCUCCAGCUAAAUUCCAGCUCCGGCCAGACACGGAUGCUGCGGGAGAGCAGCAUAUGAUCGCUUACAUCAUUACCGAAACUUUGUUUGAAGUGGUAGAUCGAAAGCAUGCAGAGGGCAGCUGCUAAAACAGCCGCGGACAGCAGAUAUGCCAGAAACUUUUUCAUGGCGCCGCCGCCAUAGGAGAUUGCGCAGAGAUCCAUGAGAGGAGAUGGGAGUUGGGGUGUAACCG